This 460-nucleotide ribosomal RNA is filed under the name uncultured bacterium. Its description in RNAcentral is "partial 16S ribosomal RNA". It matches the Rfam family "Bacterial small subunit ribosomal RNA", at positions 338 to 795 of the family's 1533-position model. The record is from RNAcentral.
CCUACGGGUGGCAGCAGUGAGGAAUAUUGGUCAAUGGGCGAGAGCCUGAACCAGCCAAGUCGCGUGAAGGAUGACGGCCCUACGGGUUGUAAGCUUCUUUUGUCAGGGAGCAAUAGGGUCCACGCGUGGGCUUAGCGAUAGUACCUGAAGAAAAAGCAUCGGCUAACUCCGUGCCAGCAGCCGCGGUAAUACGGAGGAUGCGAGCGUUAUCCGGAUUUAUUGGGUUUAAGGGGUGCGUAGGCGGAAUAUCAAGUCAGCGGUAAAACUUCGGGGCUCAACCCCGUCGUGCCGUUGAAACUGAUGUUCUGGAGUGGGCGAGAAGUAUGCGGAAUGCGUGGUGUAGCGGUGAAAUGCAUAGAUAUCACGAAGAACUCCGAUUGCGAAGGCAGCAUACCGGCGCCCAACUGACGCUGAAGCACGAAAGCGUGGGUAUCGAACAGGAUUAGAUACCCCUGUAGUC